RNAcentral lists this long non-coding RNA (358 nucleotides) under Peromyscus maniculatus bairdii (prairie deer mouse). Its description in RNAcentral is "Nuclear RNase P (ENSPEMG00000004216.2)". It matches the Rfam family "Nuclear RNase P", at positions 9 to 215 of the family's 301-position model. From Rfam's summary of the family: Ribonuclease P (RNase P) is a ubiquitous endoribonuclease, found in archaea, bacteria and eukarya as well as chloroplasts and mitochondria. Its best characterised activity is the generation of mature 5'-ends of tRNAs by cleaving the 5'-leader elements of precursor-tRNAs. Cellular RNase Ps are ribonucleoproteins. Lineage: Eukaryota; Metazoa; Chordata; Mammalia; Rodentia; Cricetidae. The record is from RNAcentral.
UCAAAAAAUUAAGAGUAGGAGGCUGAAUGCUCAUCACUCCAGGGCUCCUGGGAAGGUCUGAGACUGGGGCCUUCUGCGGCCCUAACUGGGCCCUCCCCGAGUUGGGAGGUGAGUUCCCAGAGACCAGGACCCCACGUUGGGCACCAGAUGGCUAGGAGCCAUCCAUGGUGGUGGACAGGUCCCAGCAGAGGAUGUAAGGAGUUGGCGAGGGGAGGAGGUGAGCUGGGCCAUGAUGGCGGUGAGAAUCUUGCAGCCUGACUGACUAGCAGCCAGAGUGCUUCUUGCUUUAUGACUUUUGCUGUUCCCAUCAGAUUCUGUGCCAUCUCCCCUUGUUGAACGGUUACCUUGUUCAGCUUGA